AAGGGGCUUCGGCCCUGAGUAGAGUGGCAAACGGGUGAGUAACGCGUGGGUGACCUACCUUCGAGUGGGGGAUAACGUUCCGAAAGGAGCGCUAAUACCGCAUGAAGUUCCGGGUUUGAACAUCUGGAAACCAAAGCCGGGGAUCGCAAGACCUGGCGCUUGGAGAGGGGCCCGCGUCUGAUUAGCUAGUUGGCGGGGUAAUGGCCCACCAAGGCGACGAUCAGUAGCCGGCCUGAGAGGGCGGACGGCCACACUGGGACUGAGACACGGCCCAGACUCCUACGGGAGGCAGCAGUGGGGAAUUGUUCGCAAUGGGCGCAAGCCUGACGACGCAACGCCGCGUGGAGGACGAAGAUUUUCGGA
RNAcentral lists this ribosomal RNA (363 nucleotides) under uncultured bacterium. Its description in RNAcentral is "bacterial SSU rRNA". It matches the Rfam family "Bacterial small subunit ribosomal RNA", at positions 72 to 422 of the family's 1533-position model. The record is from RNAcentral.